AAUGGCUGUCCGCAACUAACCACUGCGCUGUGGUAACAUAACUAAAUUUCAACAGAAAGCAACAUGAAAAACAGCUGCAGGCAUCCGACACUCUACGCUCGUUAGUUAGUGAGCGUCAAAUGAGGCUUACCGUUCAGUUUCUCUGGACUGUCCCUCAGGAUCACAACUUUAGUCCAUCAUCGCAGAGCCUGCUAGCCACAUUAGCCGCACAAUAUGCUAACGCCAAGUUAGCUAACCUUUAAAAUAAACAGUAAAACAACACAAAACACGGCAACACUUACAGCUUCAGAGUUCGAAGUCGGGUCACGUACAGCCCAGGGCGAUCCAUCCUUUAACCGUUACAGAGCUUGUUACGGUUGUGGAACUUUUGAAGCACUCAUUUAUUAAUUUAGCACGCCCUGAAGUGCACAGUAUGAACAUUGCGGUUGUUGCGGUGAUUGCCAUCCUCCGCGGUAGGCUUGACCAAUAGCGCGGUAUUUAAAUUUUGCGGUUAUCGCGACACCCCUAUUCAAGUCCUAAUUCUUGUGAUUUUGAUAUCUUCAACUGUUCUUUCCUCUCUUGUUUAUGCUCCCAGAGAUCACCCAUUAAUCACACUGAAUGGGUCCGCUGCGCCUCAAAAGGACAGACGCUGCUUUGCCAUUCUGCAGCAGCGUGUCAACAUGACUCUCUGUCCAACAGAGCAGAAAAAGGGGUCCAGUCCAUAUCCUGUCUGACUGGCAUGUCGCUCACAUUGCAUGGAUGGAAGGAGUGAGAAGGGAGUUAUGCUUGUAAAACCAAUGCAGACAUCUGUGUGGAACAUGGAGAGUUGUUUCAGAAGGCAGAUCUGAUUUGCAGGUCAAGCCUGUAUAUGACUGCCUAGGUCCUGGCUCACCUGCUUUGCAAACUUUGAACAUUUUGAGACUGAGACACAGUUGGAGGCUCUUUAUCUGUAUGCAGGGGCUACACUAUGAGCACUGCAAAAGAUGACAGCCUUGACAUUUAUUUUAGUCGGUAUCCUGAUUUUUAGUCCAUUCACAAUUAAUAUACAAUUUUGCUGAGUUUCAUGUAAAGGUUUUCCUCAUAAUUACUGUUGCUGAAUCUUACUGUGUGUUAAGAGAGAACAUAAGCUAAAUUUUAGAGGCAUAAUUUCAAACAAAGUCAAUGGAAAUACAGUAUGCCGAUGCCUUCAGUGAAAUGCAGCUCGUGUUCCACUGGCACAUAUUGUUUCGUAAUGGCAUGUACAACAGUAGUACAGAACUACAACAGUAUAAGCAGCUAAAAGUAGUUGGAGUAUCAAAAAUUAAAAUACUCAUUAUGCAGAAAGAUCCUGUUAAAGUUACAUUUUCUAUUCUUGGAUGUCUGUUACUGCUAAAUAGCUGUUUUGUAUGUAAAAACUUGAUAUUGUAUUAAAUCGACCUGCCUGA
This is a long non-coding RNA of Micropterus dolomieu (smallmouth bass), 1403 nucleotides long. RefSeq lists it as uncharacterized. The record is from RefSeq and is a predicted model, not a curated record. The transcript has 2 exons. Lineage: Eukaryota; Metazoa; Chordata; Actinopteri; Centrarchiformes; Centrarchidae.